UUUAAAGAAAUUAAAAACAAUUAUCAUGAGAGGACAAGAUGGCCGACUAGAGACAUCACUUAUCAUGAGAGAGCAAGAUGGCCGACUAGAGACAUCACUUGUCGGAGCUUCCUGGAGGGAAGGAAGGGUUUCAGAUAAAGGAAAGGCUGGAACAGGCACAGCUCAGGUGUAUUUCAGAGGAGGAGCACCAGAGCCUGCCAGGGACUUCAUGGGGGAAAUUACUGCAGCAGAACAGGAAAAAGGAAAAAGAAAAAGAGAAGAAUAAAUUGGUGAGGAUCAAACCCAACUGCGGCUUGGAGCCCAGUGAAAGGGCAAAAGGAGGAUCCUGUUCCCUUCCCACACACCUUUGGUGAUCAGCGGGCUGCUGAGGAGUUUGGAAGUUUUCUCGCCCUUGUGAGCCUGGGCACAGCUGCAACCUCUGUAUGAUGACAGGCAACAUGACCUGUGACACUGCCAUGGAUUAAAUGCAGGAGCAGACAUGAUAAUCCAGCUGUCUUUCAUGAAGCCAGACCUUAAAGAAAUUCGCAGAAAGAUAAAGAAGGAAGGGCGUCCUGAAACCAAAGAGUUAGAAACCUGUUGAUAAAAGGAAAUAAAAAAAGGACAGUGUGAUAUACACACAUAAACAGAAACUCUACCAUUUUCAAGUUUCAUAAAUCCAAGGAUCAGAAUUUGGAAAGAGGCCAAUAUCCCUUCCUCUGAGAAGCAUUUUCAACAGCCACCCAAAUAUACAGUGAAGCCAACAUAACCACAUACAGUUGGCAUGCUGAAGUUUGGAUAUUUUUUUCUGCAUAAGAAAUAGAAUGUUGAGAAUGGGAACUGGUUUUAAAAUUAACAAAAUCUGAGAGAAAUGGAAAAUUAUCCUGAAGACUCAGAGAAUGGGCAAAGCUCUAAACCUGAUUUAAUGGAGGAACCAAAAGAAAAUUUUGGAAAACUUUAUUAUAUCUUCAGGAGAAUGGAAUAAAAUAUGGCCAGUAAGGCUAGGGAGUCUGAGAAAAAUAAACAAUAAAAUAGAGGGACAGUAAGACGACACACAAAGACAGCAAAGUAA
Non-coding RNA from Microcebus murinus (gray mouse lemur), 1048 nucleotides. The record is from RefSeq and is a predicted model, not a curated record. Lineage: Eukaryota; Metazoa; Chordata; Mammalia; Primates; Cheirogaleidae.